UUGGGAUGUUGUUGCUCUGAAUACGAGUUGGUAACAACAACUUCGCAGUGUAUACCCCUGCAGACAUGGCGGGUAUGAUACUGUAGGUAGUUCCUGGUUACUGAAGUGCAAAGGGCUCGGGUACUCCUAGCAGAUGCAACCGGUAUGUUCUCUUCUGCCUUUCUAAAGAGAAGUAAGGGGACGGAGCUGGAAGCUACACUGAGCAAAU
Molecule: long non-coding RNA, 208 nt
Organism: Hyla sarda
Lineage: Eukaryota; Metazoa; Chordata; Amphibia; Anura; Hylidae
Exons: 3
Source: RefSeq, a predicted model, not a curated record